Molecule: ribosomal RNA, 490 nt
Filed under: uncultured bacterium
Lineage: Bacteria
Description: partial 16S ribosomal RNA
Rfam family: Bacterial small subunit ribosomal RNA
Source: RNAcentral
AGUGAACGCUGGCGGCAGGCCUAACACAUGCAAGUCGAACGGCAGCACAAGAGAGCUUGCUCUCUGGGUGGCGAGUGGCGGACGGGUGAGGCAUGCAUCGGAAUCUGCCCAUUUGUGGGGGAUAACCUCGGGAAACCGGGACUAAUACCGCAUACGACCUACGGGUGAAAGCAGGGGAUCUUAGGACCUUGCGCAGAUGGAUGAGCCGAUGCCGGAUUAGCAAGUUGGAGGGGUAAAGGCCCACCAAGGCGACGAUCCGUAGCUGGUCUGAGAGGAUGAUCAGCCACACUGGAACUGAGACACGGCCCAGACUCCUACGGGAGGCAGCAGUGGGGAAUAUUGGACAAUGGGCGCAAGCCUGAUCCAGCCAUGCCGCGUGUGUGAAGAAGGCCUUCGGGUUGUAAAGCACUUUUGUUGGGAAAGAAAAGCAGCCGGUUAAUACCCGGUUGUCAUGACGGUACCCAAAGAAUAAGCACCGGCUAACUUCGUG